ACACAUGCAAGUCGAACGGCAGCGCGGGGCAACCUGGCGGCGAGUGGCGAACGGGUGAGUAAUAUAUCGGAACGUACCCUGGAGUGGGGGAUAACGUAGCGAAAGUUACGCUAAUACCGCAUACGAUCUAAGGAUGAAAGUGGGGGAUCGCAAGACCUCAUGCUCCUGGAGCGGCCGAUAUCUGAUUAGCUAGUUGGUAGGGUAAAAGCCUACCAAGGCAUCGAUCAGUAGCUGGUCUGAGAGGACGACCAGCCACACUGGAACUGAGACACGGUCCAGACUCCUACGGGAGGCAGCAGUGGGGAAUUUUGGACAAUGGGCGCAAGCCUGAUCCAGCAAUGCCGCGUGAGUGAAGAAGGCCUUCGGGUUGUAAAGCUCUUUUGUCAGGGAAGAAACGGCCUGUUCUAAUACAGUGGGCUAAUGACGGUACCUGAAGAAUAAGCACCGGCUAACUACGUGCCAGCAGCCGCGGUAAUACGUAGGGUGCAAGCGUUAAUCGGAAUUACUGGGCGUAAAGCGUGCGCAGGCGGUUUUGUAAGUUUGUCGUGAAAUCCCCGGGCUCAACCUGGGAAUGGCGAUGAAGACUGCAAGGCUAGAGUUUGGCAGAGGGGGGUAGAAUUCCACGUGUAGCAGUGAAAUGCGUAGAUAUGUGGAGGAACACCGAUGGCGAAGGCAGCCCCCUGGGUCAAAACUGACGCUCAUGCACGAAAGCGUGGGGAGCAAACAGGAUUAGAUACCCUGGUAGUCCACGCCCUAAACGAUGUCUACUAGUUGUCGGGUCUUAAUUGACUUGGUAACGCAGCUAACGCGUGAAGUAGACCGC
RNAcentral lists this ribosomal RNA (823 nucleotides) under Duganella sp. AKB-2008-KK11. RNAcentral describes it as "bacterial SSU rRNA". It matches the Rfam family "Bacterial small subunit ribosomal RNA", at positions 51 to 872 of the family's 1533-position model. The record is from RNAcentral. Lineage: Bacteria; Pseudomonadati; Pseudomonadota; Betaproteobacteria; Burkholderiales; Oxalobacteraceae.